RNAcentral lists this long non-coding RNA (497 nucleotides) under Rattus norvegicus (Norway rat). Its description in RNAcentral is "long non-coding RNA NONRATT032730". Lineage: Eukaryota; Metazoa; Chordata; Mammalia; Rodentia; Muridae. The record is from RNAcentral.
CUGUAGACAAUUGGCAGCAGGAGAGCAGCAGCUGUCACACUCUUCAGAUACCUCUCUAUUUAAAGUUCAAAGAGGCACAGGAUAACAAUAAGGAAGAAAGACUCGUGGCCCUGACUAAGCCACCCAACAAUAGAAAGAAUGGCUGAGAAAGAGUCAGCGUCACCACAGCUCAUGGUUCCCAUUCUUCUCCUGGUUGGAUGGAUUGUAGGCUGCAUUAUAGUGGUUUACAUUGUCUUCUUCUAGAAAAGCAAGAAGACUUCAAACUGACACCAUUUAGAAGAAUUAAAAAAAAAUCAGGAACACGACUGAUCAUUAAAGGUGUCUUGUAUUAAAUAGCUGUUGUAUUUCCUGUCUUUUGGAAAUUAGAAUUUAUCUACAUGAGAAUACCUUAAGAAUUUGCUUGAAAUUACAGAUAAGUAUUGAAGAAAAUGAUACAAGCUGAAGAGAUGGGUUAGCAGUUUAGAAUACUGACUGCUGGGUUGGGGAUUUAGCUCAGU